CAUGUCAUCACUUCAUUUUUUUGCGCCUGCGCAUAAAUCUGAGAAACGUGAGUUUGUCAUAAUUUUUUAUCUAGACAUAGGAUAGGUUGUGUGAAAAUAUUACUGAUGUUUAACGUUAAAAAUGGACCAAAAGAUUAAUGCUAAACAACAUUUGACAUGUUUGAACGAACAUAAAUAGAUUAUUUACUAGGUUUUUUUAUCUUUUCGGCGUGAUUUUACCAGCCCCCACCACGUUUUGUGGGAGCAUAAUGAACGCUAAGUACUUGGUGUUAUUUGGACAUAAAUUAUGAACUUUGUCAAAAGAAACCACAUUUGUUCCGGACCUGGAAUGCCUUCCGGACCUGGGAUCCUGCCCUCUGAUGGAGAUAAUCAAAGCUAAGAUCCCUCCUGUUUCCUGAUUAAGAGGUGAUGACUACUCCACUCCACUACCUUUGUCAACUUUCUCCUGACAUGAACUGAAGCCACAUCUCAUGUGCCCACUCAUCCACUGGCACAUUGAAUGUUUCCCCUCCAAGCAGACCUGAGCCCUAGGACCAUGCCUCAGGACUACCUGGUAUGAUGACUCCUUGCUGUCCCCAGUCCACCUGGCCGUGCUGCUGCUCCAGCUUCAACUGUUCUGCCUGCGGCUAUGGAACCCUGACCUGUUCACCGGACGUGCUUGUUGCACCCUCGACAACUACUAUGAUUAUUAUUACUUGACCAUGCUGGUCAUUUAUGAACAUUUUAACAUCUUGACCAUGUUCUGUUAUAAUAUCC
RNAcentral lists this long non-coding RNA (756 nucleotides) under Salmo salar (Atlantic salmon). RNAcentral's name for it is "lncRNA (ENSSSAG00000116768.1)". The record is from RNAcentral. Lineage: Eukaryota; Metazoa; Chordata; Actinopteri; Salmoniformes; Salmonidae.